Molecule: unclassified non-coding RNA, 240 nt
Filed under: soil metagenome
Description: partial contains 5.8S ribosomal RNA, internal transcribed spacer 2, and large subunit ribosomal RNA
Source: RNAcentral
AACAAGGCGUACCUGCGGACCUGCGGAGGGAUCAUUACAGAGUUCGUGCCCCCGCGGGUAGAUCUCCCACCCUUGUGUAUUCCUUACAUUUUGUUGCUUUGGCAGGCCGUUGGUUCGCCAACCACCGGCUCUACGGGCUGGUGCGUGCCUGCCAGAGGACCCCCCAAACUCGGUUUGUUAGUGUCGUCUGAGUAACCAUAACAAUCGUUAAAACUUUUAACAAUGGAUCUCAGAUCGGAA